GCCUGAGAGGGUGAACGGCCACAUUGGGACUGAGACACGGCCCAAACUCCUACGGGAGGCAGCAGUGGGGAAUAUUGCACAAUGGGGGAAACCCUGAUGCAGCGACGCCGCGUGAAGGAUGAAGUAUUUCGGUAUGUAAACUUCUAUCAGCAGGGAAGAAAAUGACGGUACCUGACUAAGAAGCCCCGGCUAACUACGUGCCAGCAGCCGCGGUAAU
This 217-nucleotide ribosomal RNA is filed under the name uncultured bacterium. RNAcentral's name for it is "partial 16S ribosomal RNA". It matches the Rfam family "Bacterial small subunit ribosomal RNA", at positions 290 to 524 of the family's 1533-position model. The record is from RNAcentral.